GGAAACAAUCACCUGCGGUAACCUGGUUGUUUGCGGGGAUUAAAUUGAGUGACGGAGCUUCCUUCAGUCACUGCAGAGCUUCUGGGUUGAGAGCAGGUUGGUGUUCCUUCAGGUUGGCGGAUCUUUGCGUGUCGGCAACGCAUAUAGUACACGGUAUGAGCGCAGGGUAGUGCCGUGAUAGGGUCAUGGACGGCCGAGAUUGCCACUUUUGUCUUGUCUUUUUGUCUCUUUUUGCCUUUCUAUUUAGC
Long non-coding RNA from Notolabrus celidotus (New Zealand spotty), 248 nucleotides. RefSeq lists it as uncharacterized. NCBI's taxonomy places the organism in Eukaryota, Metazoa, Chordata, Actinopteri, Labriformes, Labridae. The transcript is spliced from 3 exons. The record is from RefSeq and is a predicted model, not a curated record.